This 27-nucleotide non-coding RNA is filed under the name Bombyx mori (domestic silkworm). Lineage: Eukaryota; Metazoa; Arthropoda; Insecta; Lepidoptera; Bombycidae. The record is from RNAcentral.
GCACGUAAGUUGGCAAGGUUUUGGUGU